UACGUAGGGGGCAAGCGUUGUCCGGAAUCAUUGGGCGUAAAGGGCGUGUAGGCGGCUCGUUAAGUCCGCUGUGAAAGUCCAGGGCUCAACCCUGGAAGGCCGGUGGAAACUGGCGGGCUAGAGUCCGGAAGAGGCGAGUGGAAUUCCCGGUGUAGCGGUGAAAUGCGCAGAUAUCGGGAGGAACACCAAUGGCGAAGGCAGCUCGCUGGGACGGUACUGACGCUGAGACGCGAAAGCGUGGGGAGCAAACAGG
This 253-nucleotide ribosomal RNA is filed under the name uncultured bacterium. RNAcentral's name for it is "partial 16S ribosomal RNA". It matches the Rfam family "Bacterial small subunit ribosomal RNA", at positions 524 to 776 of the family's 1533-position model. The record is from RNAcentral.